UACGUAGGGUGCGAGCGUUGUCCGGAAUUAUUGGGCGUAAAGAGCUCGUAGGCGGUUUGUCGCGUCUGCUGUGAAAGACCGGGGCUCAACUCCGGUUCUGCAGUGGGUACGGGCAGACUAGAGUGCAGUAGGGGAGACUGGAAUUCCUGGUGUAGCGGUGAAAUGCGCAGAUAUCAGGAGGAACACCGAUGGCGAAGGCAGGUCUCUGGGCUGUAACUGACGCUGAGGAGCGAAAGCAUGGGGAGCGAACAGG
Molecule: ribosomal RNA, 253 nt
Filed under: uncultured bacterium
Lineage: Bacteria
Description: partial 16S ribosomal RNA
Rfam family: Bacterial small subunit ribosomal RNA
Source: RNAcentral